RNAcentral lists this transfer RNA (67 nucleotides) under Protanguilla palau. RNAcentral's name for it is "tRNA-Cys". It matches the Rfam family "tRNA". Rfam says of the family: Transfer RNA (tRNA) molecules are approximately 80 nucleotides in length. The record is from RNAcentral. Lineage: Eukaryota; Metazoa; Chordata; Actinopteri; Anguilliformes; Protanguillidae.
AGCCUUGCAGUGAAAGACACGUCAGAUUGCAAAUCUGGAGAUGCAGGUUUAUAUCCUGCCCGGGCUU